UUUUAGAAAAUUUCAGCCAGUGGAUUGGCUCUUAACCGCAUGUCCGGCCGCUCCGUUCGAGGGUCGCUAUUCCAGUGGAAAAAUCGAAGGUCUGAGGUUAAUUGGACCGUCCACCGCACGAAGCCCAUGCCAUGUAUCAACCUCGCUCGACCCAUCUCCCCCCUUCCGCCGCAUACCUACCACUGCUCUCUCCUCGGUCGGCAUCUCCAAGGAGAGGACCAGACCGGUCGAUGGGGAGGCGAAGUUGAUGCAUCUACAGACGAAGCGGCGAUGUACUGUUGGGUGGAUGAUAAAUCCGGCAAUCAAUCUUCAGUUUCAGGAAGCAUUCAUGAUGAUUGAUGUGCGCCACUCACCAGCUGCAAUUAAAUGGAGUUAAGCAGCUGCUUUCUUGUCUGCAUGAAAGACGAUAUCAUUGAGGGAAUUUAUGAUACUUUCGGAAUGCGCUUCCAUGAGCAAAUCUGUGUCAAUUCACAAUGUUUGAGCUACUGGCAGUUACAUUUGAGGAACUAAUGGAAUUGCCCCCAUCCUGCGUGUUUUAGUGAUACUGCAUGUUGUGUUGAUCAAGGUGGAGGAAAGAGAAAAGGUAAGUAGCAUCAGUUCGUUGGACCCAAUUUACAUAUUCUUAAUGGUUCUAUCUUUUAGGUGCAUUUGCUAUAUAUUUGGAGCCUUGGCAUGCUGAUAUUUAUGAGUUCCUUGAUUUGAGAAAGAACCAUCGGAAGGUAAACAUUCUAGAAGUAAUACGUAACACACUUUCAGGCAGAGAUACCCGAAACUGAUUACCAGUUUGGAUUUACUUUUUUCGCACUGGAUCACCACCCUCAUGCUAUUGAUCUCUUUGUUCAUUUAUCAGGAACAGUAAUUUGCAAUGGGAAAAUCAUUUUAAUUAAUCUGAAUCAAUUGUUUAUGUACAAUUAGUUGUUCAUGUUUUUUUUUAUUAUCUCCUGUAUUUUAGUUGUUCAAGUGCUCCAUAUCUGCUUGUCCACUGUAUAUUGUAAGAGGGUGAUAACAAGAGUGGAUCUCUCAAGCUAAAUUAGGCUUGAUGCUUCACACCCGCCGAUACAAUUUGUUUGGUUUGGUAAGGCCCUGAAGCAUUUUACAAACUACAGUUACAAAAUUAAUAUUGGCUUUGUUUUCUAUUCUUUUCGUAGCCAUCAACUUGUCAGAAUCAUUCAAACAAAAGAAACAUUCUUUGGCCUACAAGGAAUAGUAAUUGAUAGAAUAUGCAUGGUUCAUGAAUCGUGAUAAGCGACACCUAUUAUCAACCAUUGCUGUUAAAUUUGAGCAUCAAUGAGAAAUAAGGUGACAUUGCCAAAGUGCAGAGUUUUUCCAAUUCCUCUUUAAUUACUUCUGGUCACCAACCAUUUGGUUUUAAAGUGCGAAAUAUUGCAUUGGGGAUAUCCCUUGUGUAACCGGAGAAUAUUUUGUCAUAUGAGUAGUUAUUUUUAUUCCAAACCAUGCAAUUAGAGGAUUCAGAAUUCCUCGCCAGGGAGACCCUGUUUAUGUCCAUGCUAUUAAUUCUCUUGCUAUUAACGUCUAAGAGAACUUCUCUUGCCGGAAGGGGCAGAGCUAGAAAUUUUAUUAAUGGGGGGCCAAUGAAACAUGUAAAGCAUCAAAGGGGCCAUCCAUAAGAAUUUAGACAUCAAAUUCAUUAACUCACAUAGUAUUUUGGGGUAGCUUGAGAAACUUUUGCAGUGUGGGGGGAGCCAUGGCAGGGCACUUUCGCUCAAUUUUUUUUUACAGCAGGGCACCCACGAGCCGCUCGGUCUGAACCGAGCCAGAGCCAAGACGAGCCGAGCCUCCAAAAGCAGGCUCGUUCGACCACCGAGCCGAGCCGAGCUUAGCUCGUUCAUGGCGAGUCAAAGGCAGGCUCGGAUCAAGCUCGCUCGGCUCGUGUCCAGCCCUAGCCCUAGCCCCAGCUCACUCUCGUUUUUGGCAUAUUACUGGGACUUUGGAGAUAAACAACAUACUGCUUAACAUUCUUUAGGGAUCAUAAGCGAUCUAUGGCAAAGACAUAUGCCUAAUUGUAGAAUCGUGCAGAUCACUGAUACUAGAAGGGCUUUGAGGCCAUGAUUAAGUUGGAAUUUGGUUUUACUUUCUGUGUUAUAUUUCCCAUUUUCAUUACAGGAUUUCACUCCUAUUACGUUUAUUUUUUUAGCAUGGCCUUUUAUCUACUACAUUUCAUGUAGUAAAUAAUGUUUCUGGCCAAAACAUCACCCCUGCAGACAUCUAAUUAGAAGCUUGGAACAUAGAAAUAAGACUUACCCUUCAAUAACUUGGUAGGUGUCAACUUGUUUGGAAGCUACCUUCAUGCAUAUAAUAAAGAUGAGGUACUCUGGUUUUUUCUUAUCGAGUUGGCGUUAAUGCACGAUUAAGAUGGGGAUGAUGCCUGUAGUGUAGUGGAGCCUGUUGCUGAAGAGAAUUGUACGUGGAGCUUCUUAAAUGUGUAGUGUUGUGACUCGGGGAAGUUUUAGUAGGACCUAUGCUAAUUUGUAGUCAAAUUGCUUUUAUAUUUUGUGCUUAUGUUUUAUUAUAGCUAGCACCAAACAAUUAUAGUGUUUAUUAAGCGAUUUCCUUCUGACUUUGCUGUUUUUGAAGAUUUAGUAUGUUCAACCUGAUGCCGGUUAGGACACAGACCAUUAUGAUGCAUCAAGUAUUGGAUUGAGAAAUCUGUGCCAUGUUUUGUCAAAAUAAAAUGAAUGGCUAUAUUGUUCUUCUUGAAAUACAAUAGAAAGAUGAAAUGCCUUUAUAACCAUCAUAUAUUUGUGGAAAUUACUACCAUUCUCAUGGAAAAAUGGACAGACGCAGCAACGUGCGCCAUCAAUGAUCUAGUAAUAUGUAUGGACGAGUAUUCUCUCACUUAAGCACAUUACACAGUUCUACAGAAUUCCGCGUUGGUGGCUCUGUAUAUGGAGGAACACAAGAAUUUUCUAUGCUCCAAACACACUGGAUUACACGUGAACAAAUAGGGACUUUCGCCGGUUGGUUGCAGACAUGUGCCAUGCAUGACGCCGCUAUCAAAGAUGACAUGUACUUGUUGUCCUAGUUACCAUCUUUGAAUAUAAUGACUUUCAAAGGGUACAAGAUAAAUGGGAAUACAUUUUACAUGAUCGCCCAAGAUAAGAAGAGCACCAACCAAAACAGUGGUGUCUGCUUUGAUGCAGCAACCAAGAUUGAGAAGGACACAUAUUAUGGUUACAUAGAGGACAUAUGGUUACUUGACUAUGGGCGUGGGUUGAAGGUCUCUUUGUUUCGAUGCAAAUGGGUCAAUAUGACACGAGGCAGGGUAACGGAAGACCCGCAGUACGGAAUGACAACAGUGGAUCUCAACAAUCUUGCAUACGCAGACGAACCAUUUGCCCUAGCCAAUGAUGUAGUGCGAGUUUUCUAUGUGAAGGACAUAUCUAUCAAGCCGAGAAAAAGAAAAGAUAAGAAAGCGAAUACAUCAUACGAUGAGCCAAAGUGUCACAUAGUUCUUUCAGGGAAAAGAAACAUCGUGGGAGUGGAUGACAAGACAGACAUAUCAGAAAAUUAUAAAAAGUUUGAUGAGAUUGCUCCAUUCAGAGUGAAUAUUGACCCGAGCAUCCAGUUAAAUGAUGAAAAUUGUCCAUGGUUACAGCGCAAAGGGACACACGCGAAGAAAAAGUUUCACAUCCAAAGAUCCCACUCUGGGAUGUGAUCGGCUUCACUGUCACCGCUUUCUUCUCUAGUAAGUUUUCAGACUUGUAUAUGUUUGUAAUAGUUAGGGUGCUUAUGUGUUUUGGCACUUGAAACGUGUACUUUUGUGCU
Triticum urartu is the source of this 3786-nucleotide long non-coding RNA. RefSeq lists it as uncharacterized. Lineage: Eukaryota; Viridiplantae; Streptophyta; Magnoliopsida; Poales; Poaceae. The record is from RefSeq and is a predicted model, not a curated record.